ACAAGGGUGAACCCGUCUCUGUGGCAAAAGAGUGGGAAGACCUUGUAGUAGGGGUGAAAAGCCAAACGAGCCUGGUGAUAGCUGGUUGCUCAACAAACGAAUUUUAGUUCGACCUUAGGUUACUUUCUCAAAUAAAUGUCCACAUACAACCUAAGAGCUAAUCAAUGAGGGUACAACCCCAUUGAAACAGGAUACAACCCUUACUAGAGAGAAAGGAAAACCGACCAAACCCGUAGGCCCUAAAGCCGCCACCAGUAAUAAGAGCGUCAUAGCAUAAAACCAACAAAUACCACAACCACCAACAAACUCCUAGCAAAACAUUGAGCCAAACUAUAACUAUAGUAAAACUACUGCUAAAACUAGUAACAAGAAACCUUCUCUCCGCACCCCUGUAACCCAGAAAUAGAAAACCUACUGGACAUUAACAGACCAAAAGAGGUAUAACAAACCCCUGUACCACACACUGUUGAACCAACACCGGAGUGCCAUCAAGACAGAUUAAAAGUUAUAUAAGGAACUCAGCAAAACUUGUCCCAACUGUUUACCAAAAACAUAGCCUUUAGCAACACAAGUAUUAAAGGUCCCGCCUGCCCAGUG
Molecule: ribosomal RNA, 597 nt
Filed under: Trachylepis binotata (Ovambo tree skink)
Lineage: Eukaryota; Metazoa; Chordata; Lepidosauria; Squamata; Scincidae
Description: partial 16S ribosomal RNA
Rfam family: Bacterial large subunit ribosomal RNA
Source: RNAcentral